Molecule: non-coding RNA, 83 nt
Organism: Thamnocephalis sphaerospora
Lineage: Eukaryota; Fungi; Zoopagomycota; Zoopagomycetes; Zoopagales; Sigmoideomycetaceae
Source: the annotation of a GenBank genome assembly
GGUUACUUGGCCGAGUGGUUAAGGCGGCAGUCUUAAGAACUGCUCCCGGCGACGGGGCGCGAGUUCGAACCUCGCAGUAACCA